UACGGAGGGUGCAAGCGUUGUCCGGAAUCAUUGGGCGUAAAGAGUUCGUAGGUGGCAUAUUAAGUCUGGUGUUAAAUGCAGAAGCUCAACUUCUGUUCGGCACUGGAUACUGGUAAGCUUGAAUGCGGUAGAGGUAAAGGGAAUUCCUGGUGUAGCGGUGAAAUGCGUAGAUAUCAGGAGGAACAUCGGUGGCGUAAGCGCUUUACUGGGCCGUAAUUGACACUGAGGAACGAAAGCCGGGGUAGCAAAUGGGAUUAG
This 258-nucleotide ribosomal RNA is filed under the name uncultured bacterium. Its description in RNAcentral is "partial 16S ribosomal RNA". It matches the Rfam family "Bacterial small subunit ribosomal RNA", at positions 524 to 781 of the family's 1533-position model. The record is from RNAcentral.